GAUGAACGCUGGCGGCGUGCUUAACACAUGCAAGUCGAACGAUGAAGCCCAGCUUGCUGGGUGGAUUAGUGGCGAACGGGUGAGUAACACGUGAGUAACCUGCCCUUAACUCUGGGAUAAGCCUGGGAAACUGGGUCUAAUACCGGAUAGGAGCGUCCACCGCAUGGUGGGUGUUGGAAAGAUUUAUCGGUUUUGGAUGGACUCGCGGCCUAUCAGCUUGUUGGUGAGGUAAUGGCUCACCAAGGCGACGACGGGUAGCCGGCCUGAGAGGGUGACCGGCCGCACUGGGACUGAGACACGGCCCAGACUCCUACGGGAGGCAGCAGUGGGGAAUAUUGCACAAUGGGCGCAAGCCUGAUGCAGCGACGCCGCGUGAGGGAUGACGGCCUUCGGGUUGUAAACCUCUUUCAGUAGGGAAGAAGCGAAAGUGACGGUACCUGCAGAAAAAGCGCCGGCUAACUACGUG
Molecule: ribosomal RNA, 466 nt
Filed under: uncultured bacterium
Lineage: Bacteria
Description: partial 16S ribosomal RNA
Rfam family: Bacterial small subunit ribosomal RNA
Source: RNAcentral